AGCUCAGUUGGCUAGAGCAUCAGCCUUCCAAGCUGAGGGUCGCGGGUUCGAGCCCCGUC
Molecule: transfer RNA, 59 nt
Filed under: Deltaproteobacteria bacterium
Lineage: Bacteria; Pseudomonadati; Myxococcota; Myxococcia
Description: tRNA-Gly
Rfam family: tRNA
About the family: Transfer RNA (tRNA) molecules are approximately 80 nucleotides in length.
Source: RNAcentral